UUCGCUGGCUAUAAAAUAGCUUUUCGCUCGUCGCUCACGGCUUUCCAAGCCAAGCAGGGUUGAAGGAUCGUUCCCUGUAGCCUUCUCGAGGAGAAACAGAGUUGUGCUGCGUUGAGGGCGUGAAUCAGGUUCGAAAAAAAUCGUUGGAUUCAGCAUUAGCGGCCAGACCUGAUCUAACAAUUUUUUUUAAAUCCACGCUCAUCGGAAGUAUUAAAAGAAGAAAACAAAAUCUUCAAGCCCAGUCUACGGAAUGGUUCUUGUGAUUCUUUCGUUACCUUUUCAAUUAGAAAUUCCAGCGGAAAGAUUGUCCGAGGACAAACAGAGCUAUGCUGCGUUGAGGGUGAGGACACGAAUCAGGUUUGGAAAAAAUCAUCUUAGAUUCAGCAUUAGUGGCCAGUCCGGUUAGCAUAGGGCGUCUUAGUUCAUAUGGUUUUUUUCCCUUUCCUUUCCAAUUAGAAAUUCCAGCAGAAAUAUCUGUUUCUCUCUCUCUCUCUCUCUCUCUUUAUUUUGUUUGCUUUGAUUUUUAUUGUAUUUUUAGUUCAGCCUUUUGUUUAUCAUUAUAUCUUUUCUACUUGACGUGGAAUGUUUCCGAGACUUCAUAACUUCUUGCGCCAUAUUUUGAUUCACGAUGCACAAAUCCUGAGGCUUUGUAUAAACAUAAUUAUCAGUGACCUAAUGAAAAGUGCAAAGAUAGAUGUUGGGGUCCGCUUUGCAGCCUUAACUUGACAUGUUUUGGUUGCCAGUAUCACCCAUAAAUUUCUAUAUAGUUGGUUUUAACCCUGAUAGAAAAUCAUUUGCGGGAGAAUCUUAUAAUGACUGAUUGAGUCUUUAUUUAGACUUGAUAGGAGAGGAGAAUCAUAUCAGAACACAUGCAUAUCAUUAUACUACUAACAUGACUCUGCCAAAUUAAAGCGAUCACAAUUUCUUUUUCUUUCAAUAGUUCUGAUUUCUUUUUUCCCCCCAUUGUGGGCAUGAAGCGCAUCAUUGUGUCUUUUCAAAAGAUACUAUAUGUGGGUUUACAAAGGAGCUACAAGCUGCUGUGUAUCUUCAAUUGAACAAGUUCUUGAACUAUGAAUUGUAAACCACAUAAUCUAAAACAUUAAGUUUUGAUGAACUUCCCAUUCUUGUAUUUCUUUUUAAUAUUAUUUUGACUUGAGCCCUUACGAGACUUCUAUAUUGACUGAUUUGAGGGGAACGACAAUCAUAUCCAAUUCUUGAAGGAUUGGCAAGAUAAAAACAGUUGCGAAUGGCAACUCUUGUAAUAAAGCGUUCCUUUUGUUUCAUUUUCAUGUGAGUAUAAAUUUGCCUUAAGUUCUAUCUCACUGAAUUCCUAAUAUUCCCCAUUAUGGACUUUCAGUGAACUUUAAACAGAAGCAAAUAUUUGCCUGCAUGCAUUUCUGGAGUGCCAUUGUCAUAAAACAUAAACUAUAUUAAGGUUUGAAGCUGAAUUGGUGAUUACCCUCUGUUGAGUUUGUUAAAUGACUAUGAAUUUGAACAGAUGAUGGAAGAACUUAAAUUUUAUGUACGUUCCAUGUGGCCUUCAAGUCAUUUACUGACAAUGAUUUGCCACUGUGCAUAGUUUUUGAACCACUCAAGGAACAAAUGUUUACAAAAUUAGUAGCUUUACUUUUUUGACCUGUUUAAAUGUUCUGUAUUUAUCUUACUGCCUCAUAUAAGCUCAUGCCAAAUUAAUUCUAUUUAGGUAUGUAUCUCAGUAAAAAGCUUUUUUGCUUCAUUGUAUAAACUCCCUACGGUAUUCAUGUUAUGUUUUCUGUC
This is a long non-coding RNA of Prosopis cineraria, 1776 nucleotides long. RefSeq lists it as uncharacterized. Lineage: Eukaryota; Viridiplantae; Streptophyta; Magnoliopsida; Fabales; Fabaceae. The record is from RefSeq and is a predicted model, not a curated record. The transcript has 2 exons.